Molecule: ribosomal RNA, 443 nt
Filed under: uncultured bacterium
Lineage: Bacteria
Description: partial 16S ribosomal RNA
Rfam family: Bacterial small subunit ribosomal RNA
Source: RNAcentral
CCUACGGGAGGCAGCAGUGGGGGAUAUUGGACAAUGGUGGGAACACUGAUCCAGCGAAGCCGCGUGAGUGAAGAAGUAUUUCGGUAUGUAAAGCUCUGUCAGCAGGGAAGCAAGAACUGACGGUACCUGACCAACAAGCCCCGGCUAACUACGUGCCAGCAGCCGCGGCAAUUCGUAGGGGGCAAGCGUUAUCCGGAUUUAAUGGGUGUAAAGGGAGCGUAGACGGUUAAGUAAAUCUGGAGGGAAAGGCCGGGGGCCAAACCCGGGACUGCUGUGGAAACUGGUGAACUUGAGUGCAGGAGAGGUAAGCGGAAUGCGUAGUGUAGCGGUGAAAUGCGUAGAUAUUAGGAAGAACACCGAUGGCGAAGGCAGCUUACUGGACUGUAACUGACGUUGAGGCACGAAAGCGUGGGUAGCGAACAGGAUUAGAUACCCUAGUAGUC